Caenorhabditis elegans is the source of this 21-nucleotide non-coding RNA. NCBI's taxonomy places the organism in Eukaryota, Metazoa, Nematoda, Chromadorea, Rhabditida, Rhabditidae. The record is from Ensembl.
UGGAUUGUAAAAACAAUGAUA